GAUCAAGCUACAAAGGGCGCACGGUGAAUGCCCUGGCACUAGGAGCCGAUGAAGGACGUGAUAAGCUGCGAUAAGCUACAUGUAGGCGCACACAGCCUGUGAUAUGUAGAUUUCCGAAUGGGGAAACCCAUCUAGUUAUGCUAGAUACUGUAUACCGAAUACAUAGGUAUAUGGAGGUACACCUGGGGAACUGAAACAUCUAAGUACCCAGAGGAAGAGAAAGAAAAUUCGAUUCCCUAAGUAGCGGCGAGCGAAAGGGGAAGAGCCCAAACCAGGAACUUGUUCCUGGGGUUGCGGAUAGAUCAUAACGCUUUGAUUUCUUUAGUUGAAGAGAACUGGAAAGUUCCGUCGUAGAAGGUAAUAACCCUGUAGGCGAAAAGGAAAGAAAAGUAGAUCUACUCCAGAGUACCACGAGACACGUGAAACCUUGUGGGAAGCUGGGAGGACCAUCUCCCAAGGCUAAAUACUACCUAGUGACCGAUAGUGAAGCAGUACCGUGAGGGAAAGGUGAAAAGAACCCCGGAAGGGGAGUGAAAUAGAAUCUGAAACCGUGUGCCUACAAUCGGUCGGAGCACAUUAAAGUGUGACGGCGUACUUUUUGUAGAACGGGCCAGCGAGUUACGAUAUAUAGCAAGGUUAAGCACUUAUGGUGUGGAGCCGAAGGGAAACCGAGUCUGAAUAGGGCAACUAGUUGUAUAUUGUAGACCCGAAACCGAGUGACCUAUCCAUGGCCAGGAUGAAGCGGAAGUAAAAUUCCGUGGAGGUCCGAACCACGUUGGUGUUGAAAAACCAUGGGAUGAGCUGUGGAUAGCGGAGAAAUUCCAAUCGAACUCGGAGAUAGCUGGUUCUCCUCGAAAUAGCUUUAGGGCUAGCGUCGGG
This 879-nucleotide ribosomal RNA is filed under the name Clostridium botulinum C/D str. BKT75002. RNAcentral's name for it is "bacterial LSU rRNA". It matches the Rfam family "Bacterial large subunit ribosomal RNA", at positions 1 to 886 of the family's 2925-position model. RNAcentral also lists the same sequence under 1 other name. The record is from RNAcentral. Lineage: Bacteria; Bacillati; Bacillota; Clostridia; Eubacteriales; Clostridiaceae.